RNAcentral lists this ribosomal RNA (414 nucleotides) under Triticum aestivum (bread wheat). Its description in RNAcentral is "partial small subunit ribosomal RNA". The record is from RNAcentral. Lineage: Eukaryota; Viridiplantae; Streptophyta; Magnoliopsida; Poales; Poaceae.
AUGGACAAGUUUCUUCUCAAAAGAAAAGCAUCAUCACAGGAUGUUCCGGAAGACAUAAAUUGGGAAGAGGAGAUUCAAUAUGAUCCGGGCAAGAGAAAAUUGAUAGAGCAUUAUCAUCCUAAUUUAAAAGAUCUGGUAAGAAGGAAGUAUUUGUUGAAUGGACCUUGUCAGCCAAGAGAUAUUGAUUUUGAAUCCUCAGAUUUUGGGGGUAAACAGAGAAAGUUCAAUCCCGAAUGGUUUAAUGAAUUUGAGAGCUGUGAUCGUAGUUAGAAGAAAGAAGCUGGAUAUGAGGCAUUCGUCGUGAAUGGUUGGAAGAGCUGGAACAUGAGAUCAAGGUUAAAAGAACAUGUUGGUGAGGUGGGCAGUGUCCAUAAUCAAGCAAUAAAAAAAUUACUUGAUUUUCAGAAAAAAGAU